CGGGGUGAGUAACGCGUGGAGAACCUGCCGUAUACUGGGGGAUAACACUUAGAAAUAGGUGCUAAUACCGCAUAAGCGCACAGCUUCGCAUGAAGCAGUGUGAAAAACUCCGGUGGUAUACGAUGGAUCCGCGUCUGAUUAGCUGGUUGGCGGGGUAGAAGCCCACCAAGGCGACGAUCAGUAGCCGGCCUGAGAGGGUGAACGGCCACAUUGGGACUGAGACACGGCCCAAACUCCUACGGAAGGCAGCAG
This 252-nucleotide ribosomal RNA is filed under the name uncultured bacterium. Its description in RNAcentral is "partial 16S ribosomal RNA". It matches the Rfam family "Bacterial small subunit ribosomal RNA", at positions 100 to 354 of the family's 1533-position model. The record is from RNAcentral.